This 253-nucleotide ribosomal RNA is filed under the name uncultured bacterium. Its description in RNAcentral is "partial 16S ribosomal RNA". It matches the Rfam family "Bacterial small subunit ribosomal RNA", at positions 524 to 776 of the family's 1533-position model. The record is from RNAcentral.
GACGGAGGGUGCUAGCGUUGUUCGGAAUUACUGGGCGUAAAGGGCGCGUAGGCGGCGUCUCAAGUGGAUGGUGAAAUCCCCGGGCUUAACCUGGGAACUGCCGUCCAAACUGAGAGGCUUGAGUCCGGGAGAGGUAAGUGGAAUUCCCAGUGUAGCGGUGAAAUGCGUAGAUAUUGGGAGGAACACCAGUGGCGAAGGCGGCUUACUGGACCGGAACUGACGCUGAGGCGCGAAAGCGUGGGGAGCAAACAGG